AGGGCGGGCGCCGGGGCGGGGCGCGCGUCCUCGCCAGUUUGAAUGGAAGGAUCCAGAUCUGCGGAGACGGCGGCCAGCAGAUACUGAGGCCAGCACUCCUCCCCAGCCCCCGCGCCCGAGACAUGCGGCGGGAGAGGUGCGGCGCCCCCCGCCCGCGUCCCCGCCAUGGAGGUGCUGCGGCGCUCCUCGGUCUUCGCCGCCGAGAUCAUGGACGCCUUUGACCGCUCGCCCACCGACAAGGAGCUGGUGGCUCAGGCCAAGGCGCUUGGCCGGGAGUUCGUGCACGCGCGGCUGCUGCGCGCCGGCCUCGCCUGGAGCGCGCCGGAGCGCGCCACGCCCGCCCCCGGCGGCCGCCUGGCCGAAGUGUGCGCGGUGCUGCUGCGCCUGGCGGACGAGCUGGAGCUGAUCCGGCCCAGCGUCUACCGCAACGUGGCCCGCCAGCUGAACAUCUCCCUGCAGUCCGAGACCGUGGUGACCGACGCCUUCCUGGCUGUGGCAGCCCAGAUCUUUUCUGCAGGACGUACUUCUCUGCAAUCAAGCAUCCCCGCCCCACCCAGCUGGCUCUACCUUUUUCUCGUGGCGGCCUCCACACCGCCACCUGCCCCUCCGGUGCUGUGGGGCGCCCACCCCCUCGUGGGCUGUGUGACCUGCAAGUGGCUUCUUAACCUCCGUGGACCUCAGAGCCGCCUGAACGGGGUGCAGAAGCAGUGUCCGCGGAGCAUGGCGCUGCGGGUCCACCCCUCCUGCCGCCGGCUGGCUCUCAGCCCGUCCCCCUGACCAGCCCGUGGCCGCCCCAGGCGCCCUCCCGCUUCCCGCCCGCCCGAGGCCUCCCUUCAGCCCUUGCUCAUCCCAGCCUUCCCGGUCGGUCCUCAGGCCCCCAGGCCCCCAGGCGAGCUCCAGCCAUCAGACGCCUGCCCGCCCUGCCCGUCUGCCCGCAGCCUCUCCCAAGCAGCUGGGUCUUGCACUCGCUGACCCCCCGGGCUGGGCCUUCCUCCCCCUCCUCCUCCCGGCCGGCCCCUCACCUGCUCUGGCUGUGGCCGGCGACGUGGACGGCUCGAGGACUGCAGGGCAGGGUUCCAGGUGGCCCCCCCACGUGGCUGAGCCCCCGCGAAGGCAGAGGCAGGGGGCGCUGUUCCCGGCUGCGUCUUGGCUGAAGGCGCUUCUCAGUUCCCUUCAGUGGAAAAACUGAAAGUUGGCAAGUGUUUUCAUUUUUUUCUUCUCAUUACGAGAGCAAAAUAUUUCACCAUGGAAAGAUCAGCGAAUACAUGAGAUAAAGAACUCUCAGAAACCAGUACUAAAAAGACCACCUCACUUUAAAAAGAGCAAAGGGUCUGAAUAGGCAUCUCGUCAGGGAAGGUGUGUGAACAGCCAGCACGUGCACGAGAAUUUGCUCAGCCUCAUCAGUCACCAGGGAGACGCACAUCACACCACAACAAGAUGCCACCUCGCGCCCACUGGAGCACUCAAGGCAAAAGGCCAGAGAACCCAGCACGGGUGAGGCUGUGAAGAGUCAGGGCGUGAAGUGGUCCGGCAGCUUCUCCAAUGGUAACUGACGGGGUCACCCCCUGACCCAGCAGUUCCGCUCCUCGGUUUUGACCCCUGAGAAAGGAAGCCACAUGUUCACACAAGGGCUUGCACACGAGUGUUCAGAGCCGUGUACCCCCACAGCCGGAGGGGCCAGCAGCCCACGUGGUUGUUUCCUGAUGGGUGGUCCAUCCACUCGAUGGAACAUUAUUCGGCUGUAAAAAGGAAUGAGGUGCCAACACCAGGACAGCACGGAGGAACCCUGAAAACAUUUUGCUCAGUGAACGGAGUCAGACACAAAGUGGGACAUACUGUGUGACUGCAUUCACGUGAAAUGUCCAGAACAGGAAUCACCUGGGGCAAGGUCGUGUCCCUGUACUCAGUGGCUGCGGGGCUGGCCGUGGACUGCGUGCGACAGGCCCAGCCCGC
Balaenoptera musculus (blue whale) is the source of this 1953-nucleotide RNA transcript. It is a transcript of the gene named BCL2 family apoptosis regulator BOK, with no coding region annotated. The record is from RefSeq and is a predicted model, not a curated record. NCBI's taxonomy places the organism in Eukaryota, Metazoa, Chordata, Mammalia, Artiodactyla, Balaenopteridae. The transcript has 5 exons.